UACGUAGGGCGCAAGCGUUGUCCGGAAUUAUUGGGCGUAAAGAGCUCGUAGGCGGCUUGUCACGUCGGGUGUGAAAGCCCGGGGCUUAACCCCGGGUCUGCAUUCGAUACGGGCUGGCUGGGGUGUGGUAGGGGAGAUCGGAAUUCCUGGUGUAGCGGUGAAAUGCGCAGAUAUCAGGAGGAACACCGGUGGCGAAGGCGGAUCUCUGGGCCAUUACUGACGCUGAGGAGCGAAAGCGUGGGGAGCGAACAGG
RNAcentral lists this ribosomal RNA (253 nucleotides) under uncultured bacterium. RNAcentral describes it as "partial 16S ribosomal RNA". It matches the Rfam family "Bacterial small subunit ribosomal RNA", at positions 524 to 776 of the family's 1533-position model. The record is from RNAcentral.